Molecule: ribosomal RNA, 477 nt
Filed under: uncultured bacterium
Lineage: Bacteria
Description: bacterial SSU rRNA
Rfam family: Bacterial small subunit ribosomal RNA
Source: RNAcentral
ACCGGUGGCAACACCGGUGAAGACCUAGUGGCGAACGGGUGAGUAGCACGUGAGCAACCUGCCCCGAAGACCGGGACAACACCGGGAAACCGGUGCUAAUACCGGAUGCCCCCACCGGGCCGCAUGACCUGGUGAGGAAAUGGAUUCCGCUUCGGGAGGGGCUCGCGGCCUAUCAGCUUGUUGGUGAGGUAACGGCUCACCAAGGCUUCGACGGGUAGCUGGUCUGAGAGGACGAUCAGCCACACUGGGACUGAGACACGGCCCAGACUCCUACGGGAGGCAGCAGUGGGGAGUCUUGCACAAUGGGCGCAAGCCUGAUGCAGCAACGCCGCGUGAGGGACGAAGGCUUUCUGAGUUGUAAACCUCUUUCAGCAGGGACGAUUAUGACGGUACCUGCAGAAGAAGCCCCGGCCAACUACGUGCCAGCAGCCGCGGUAAUACGUAGGGGGCGAGCGUCGUCCGGAUUUAUUGGGGGUA